CGCAUCUGUGCAUGCAGCAUAUCAAUAAGCGGAGGAAAAGAAACUAACAAGGAUUCCCUUAGUAACGGCGAGUGAAGCGGGAAGAGCUCAAAUUUGAAAUCUUCAAGGUUUUACCUUGACGAAUUGUAGUUUAAAGAAGUGUUUUCUGUUGAAGUUUUGGUAAAAGUUCUUUGGAAUAGGACAUCAUAGAGGGUGAGAAUCCCGUAUUUGACCACUUAUUUUCAGCUGUGUGAUACACUUUCAAAGAGUCGGAUUGUUUGGGAAUGCAGUCCAAAAUGGGUGGUAAAUUUCAUCUAAAGCUAAAUAUUGGCGAGAGACCGAUAGCGAACAAGUACCGUGAGGGAAAGAUGAAAAGAACUUUGAAAAGAGAGUUAAACAGUACGUGAAAUUGUCAAAAGGGAAGCGUUUGACACCAGUGUUGUUUUCUCGAAAAUCAAUUAAAAAGAGUUUAGAUUUUGUUGUGUAUUGACCUUAACAGCUUGCAUUUCAAUUUUCUUGCUUUUUUUAAUGCACUUUUCGUUUAACAAGUCAACAUCAGUUUCUUUUGUUGUAAAAAGGUCAUUGGAAGGUGGCUUUCUUUUCGGAGAAAGUGUUUAUAGCCUUUGACUCCUGCAAUCGGAGAGACUGAGGUCUGCAGCGUAGAUCCUUCGGGGUUAGAUACAUUUGUGCUAAGUUAUAGCUUUUUAUAGACAACUUGUUGACUAUGAUUAGUCUUGUAGCUUACUCGCUUAUGCUAUUUUACCUACGCUUAGGAUGUUGACGCGCGUGUGUGCGUG
Molecule: ribosomal RNA, 776 nt
Filed under: uncultured Neocallimastigales
Lineage: Eukaryota; Fungi; Neocallimastigomycota; Neocallimastigomycetes; Neocallimastigales
Description: partial large subunit ribosomal RNA
Rfam family: Eukaryotic large subunit ribosomal RNA
Source: RNAcentral